Molecule: long non-coding RNA, 2671 nt
Organism: Glycine soja
Lineage: Eukaryota; Viridiplantae; Streptophyta; Magnoliopsida; Fabales; Fabaceae
Exons: 5
Source: RefSeq, a predicted model, not a curated record
AGAAAUAAAAAUCAUCACACCACAACCCACAGAUCCACCAUCAAAUAGCCACAUAGAUAGACAAAUAAACACUCGAUCUUUGACUUUUCAUAGUUUCGCUGUCGUAUCGCAUUUAGAAAAAGUUCAUACAUUUUCGUUUAUUCCAGAAAGCACAAAGAGGAAAACAAUGAAUGAUGAUGGGUUUGACAACGAGGGCGCCCAAGUUUAGGUUCCUUUUAUCAUAGCUUCGUGAAGAAGUAUAGGAGAGGCUUCUCUCCAUGAAGGGCGGUUACUUCCAAAUUGGGAUCAUUAUUGAUGUAAUUUUUGUUAGUUUGGAUGCUUGGGUAGUCAUUGGGAGCUUAGAUUAAUUUGUGAAUUUCGCAAAGUGUAGAAUCGCACCAGCUCGAUAAGCUAGAGAUUGAGCUAGCCCACCGAGAGCAAACCUUCAGAGUUAUAACUAGCUAGCUAAGCCAGUAGCAGCCCUACCAAGCGACACAUUCAUAGGUUCUCUUUAGGUUUGUAUUCAACAAAAUCCAUGGCUAAGCUAGAGGCUAUUAUAAAUAAACUAAGGCGAGUAACCAAAAUUUAUUUUAGAGGACUAGCUAUAGCAAGGCUUGUGGCUAAGCCAGUUACCUUCCUGAGAGUGAACUUGAGAAAGUACAGAGGCUAGCUAAGGUAGCGGAUUGGGAUGGCAAGCACAGACACAGCUCCACCCAAGGUUGAUUUUGACUCCCACAAAGCUCAGAUGUGCGCAAAUCUGAUUUCAACGAAGUGAAGAGUUUUGUUGUGCUUUAUUCGAGAAUUAGAAUACAACACUUGGUGGCACAAAAGGGAAAAGAGAAUGAAAGAUGUAUGGGGAUGAGAAGACAUGAAGUAAUGGUGGCAUGACAGUGGCGGUUUGAAGGUGGCGGUGGUGAGGUCCUGUCUUGGUGUUCUAGGUAUUUUGAAGGAGAAGAGAAUGGGGAUGGUGUAGCUCUUGCCAUGUGGUUGGGGUUUGGCACGAGGUCAUGAUGGUGGUUUAAGGUUGUGGUGGUAAUAAGGUCAAGGAAGAAAAGAGAUUUUAAGGGUUUGAGGAGUAGAGACCAGGCAAGAGCAAAAUGGACUUCUCAAAUUACUUCAAGCCAAGAAGCAACAAUCCCUUUGAGAUAUUGGGUGGACAAUGAACAAAAGCGUGUAGUUAUGGCAGAAGCAAGUGGAGACUUUGUUGAUGUUCUCUUUAGUUUCCUGAUCCCUUCCAUUGGGAACUAUCAUCCGGCUUGGGAAUCAAUUUAACCAACCGGUACAGAUUGGUAGCAUCAACAAUCUGUACGAGAGUGUGCAAAAUUUGAGUCCUGAUGUUUUCUGGAAAUGUUGCUUUCUCCACGCAACCCGUUAGAAGCCUCUUACCAGGGACUAAAAGUGAAGGUGGAUGACACAGAGCCCAAAAAGUAUUUCAUUUGUCACAGCUGUUCAAAAGGAAGUGAUUUGUUGCUGAGUAGUUUUGAAGGGGCAAGGUGUUCCUGUAGAAAAUUGAUGCAAAAGAAAAUGGAGCUGCUGGAAGAGUCCAAGGACGAGGCUUCUGUGGUCGACGGUAUUUUCGUUAAAGGGGAUGCCAUGUUCUUGAUCUUUGAUGACUUGACAGUGCUCCGAAGCUCCCCAAGUGACUCUGUACAACGGCCCCUCCAACUUGGACACAAAAACUUCAGCAGCAAGAUGGAAGAAAAGUAUAGAGACGUUGGCACGAAGGAGAUGCUUGUGGCCCAUUUCAUUGGAAAGGUUCUCCAGAAAUCAAGAUAAUGUUUAGCAAAUCAAAGAACGAGAUUCUGUUUGCUGGAGCAGAGGGAGAUUUGUGGAUUUUCUAGUUAGCUUCUUCACAGAGAACCUCUUGGAUCUAUUCUAAACCUUAUGAAUGGCAAGUUAUCGUUGGGAAGCAUUGAUAACUUGUGCACAAGUGUGAAGAAUCUCAACCCAUCAUGGUUCAUCGGGUCAUGAAACAAAUCCUUACUGAUUAAUCCAAGGGUCGCUCCUAAAUUUGGUUGUAAGAUCAAUCCACUAAAUGUUUUACAAGAAGACGACGCUCCUAAGUAUUGGUGUGGCACUGUAGCAGAUAAAGAUAAUGAGGGACGUACAAUGAUUUCAAAGAAAAAUGAUAUGCUACAAUAUCCAGCAAAAAACCUGAAACUUUUUGAGCCAAGGUGUUCUGAUGGAGCAAAAGAAGCUGGUGUGGGAUUUAUGAAGAGGCCGUGUCUAUUUGUUGUGAUGGAUGAUCUGAAAGUGAUACCAAUGACAACUACUUCUAGCAUUGAGUAUCUGCAAAAGCUGGAGGAGGAGAAUGUCGAGUUGGAUGAUUUGGUGGAAAUCAGGAAGAGACUCGAGGCACUAAACCUGUUGAGGGCUUCUUUGACAUCCGACAAAGCUGCUUUCACACGCAGCUUGUUCUACCUAUUGAAGAAGUGGAAAUGCCAAAGGUGCAUUCCCUUUUAUGGUGUAUAUGUAUGCAAGAAAAAGAGAAGCAGAAAGAAAAAAGUAAUGGAAGAGAAAGAAAGUGAGAGAUAAUAAUAACGUUUAAUUAUUUUCAAGUCUUUGAAUUUUUUUAUCAAAUUUUUAAUUAGAUCUCUUGUUUUUUAUUUUAAUUUAGUCCAUGAACUUGUAUUUAUUUUUAAACUAGUGAUGACCCAUCCCAUGCAAUAGCAGAUUGUUUUACUCAUCUGUA